This is a non-coding RNA of Cherax quadricarinatus, 7273 nucleotides long. The record is from RefSeq and is a predicted model, not a curated record. NCBI's taxonomy places the organism in Eukaryota, Metazoa, Arthropoda, Malacostraca, Decapoda, Parastacidae.
AGUUCCUAGGUUGGGGAAAGGGUACUGGGGUCCAUUCCAUUCCGUUGAGGUUCUUGGCGGUGGCGUAGUUUGCCGUGGAAUCUGGAUUGCCUGGGGAUGUCCCGAUCCCUCUCCGGUAUCCCGGAGGGUGGCUUUGGGUGUCUCUCGGGCGAUGGGUGUAUCUCUGGAAGCCACCUUUCGGAUUCCGGGGGUGGUGGCCGAAGGAGCUUCACCGCCAAAACCAGUCGGCAAGACCUCCAUAGUUGGCAGACGGCCGUGGCGGUGAUGGUGGCGAGCAGGAGGCCCCAUUGGAUGGCACCUCGGCCAGUGGCAGCUUCGCAUGAAGACGCUGUACAAUGCAUCACGUGGAAAAGCGGCGCUGAUUGUAAGCCAGCACAAGACAAAUGUGCCUCUGCAUAAACUGUACACGCUGCGUGGUAAACAGUGUUUGUGAGCAACUUGCUAAUGUCAAAGCUAUGCCUGGGCCUCUUUGUAAUGUAUUUAUUGGUUAAGCUUUAUAGCUGAUGGUCUCAGGUGGUGAGCAUAAAUCUCAGCAUGUGUGAAGGAGAAUAUUCAACGUACUCUGUGUAAUGCAUAUCAUGGUAGUGUUCAACCUCGUAUGAAGUAAAUGUAUGGUCAGCCUGAGUUGAAGUUCAUUUCUGUCAGGGUCUAUUGCCCUUCACACAUUGUGUAUUAUUCAUUAUCCCUGCAGAUAUUCAGUGUGUGUGUGUGAGAGGAAGGAGGGGCGGGAGUAAGGAGUGUGUGUAAGGAAGGUGUUUUUACAUUUUUGUCCACACCUCUUUAUGUACACACCUCUACAUGGAGAUCUAUAUUUAUGUCCUGUCUUUUUUAACAUUUUUUUUACAAAUUUUUAAGGCUUCCAGUCUUAGCAAUUUCUUUUAAUUCUUUCUGAUUUCCCUUUCAUAACUUAUUUAAUAAUAUGAACUGAUGUUUAUGCUGUCAUAGGCACAAUACAAAGACAUCUUUCUUUUUCCCAUAUAUCUUAAUGAACAUGCAUGACAGGAAGAGCAGGGAUGGUUCACACUUCACUAAGAUAUUUAGAUAACGUCUAGCUCUGCAGGCAAACUCGUUUAGAUUGGAUAAAAUUUAGCUGUGCAGGGAACCUCGUUAAGAUUCUUAUUGUAUGGGUUCAUAAUGUUUUUGUGAUAUUUGCCAUUCCAUGUUAGAAUAUUUUUGUGGUGCUGUAGAUUUUUUUUUUUUUUUGAGUGACCUUGAGAUCAACUGUGUGAAUACUGCCAACUUGUUUGGGAGGUCUGAGGACAUUCUGUGGACGCUUUAAUUUUUUUUUUAUUACAUGUUUGUGCAAAAUCAGAUUGUGCACACACAUUUGUUUAGAUUAUAUAUCAUGCCAUGGGGUAUAUCCUAAUAUAGUGUUUGUGAAAUUUAAUAUUCUAUGAUAGAAUGUUUUUAAGAUAGCAGUGUUCAAAUAACUGUCCAGUUUCAGCUCACUGAUGGGGAUAGUUGUUAAGGACGUACAGCUACUUCAGUGGUAUAUUCUGUGGUUCCCUCACUUUUAUAUUACUGCUAUUUAUCAUUUUUAUGCUAAAAAAAAAUAUUGCAAGUCACACAUAAGGAAGGAUGGUUUGGACAACUGCUGAAGCUGUCCUGCAUGUUAGUAUGUUUGCCUUUGAUCUUGCAAAUACUCUUUUCGUCAUUUGCACAAGAUUAACACAGAUUCAUGUUAAACACACAAGUUUCUGUAAUUGUUUUGGCAGAAACACAUGAUGUGCUGUAAAUGACUAAGCUUAUGAAGGAUUUUGCUAAAAAAAAAAAAUUUAAUAGAAUUUUUUUAUUUUUUUUUUAUGAAAUUGUACCUAGACAAUACAUCUUGUGGGUGAGCUAUGGUCAUAUUGAUGGAAGAUGAUGUCUUAACACAGCUUCACACUAGUCUUAACACAGCUUCACACUAGUCUUAACACAGCUUCACACUAGUCUUGGGAGUACAGGGUCCAUGGGUGUUCAGGAAAUACACUACCCACCAUCCCUGCUAAUUCCUAGUUUAGUUUUAGUAUUUUCUUUUUCUUCUGGUGUUCCGAAGGGGCAUUUCUGGAGCAUCUCGUAUUGUAUUUCACAUUUUUUUAACUUUGACUAGAUUUUUUGUUGUAGGUCUUGUAACUUUUUUAUGUUUAAUCUUUAUUUUUAAAAGUGGUGACACCGUACUACAGCUACGUAGUCUGUGAUGAUGUGUUUUAGCAUUUCACAAUACUGCUCUUAAAAGUAAUUUUGAAGUUUGCCAGGAUUAUGUAAGUAUCUUUCACUUAUAUUAAUGUGACUUCACGAUGAAAACCAUAAUCACCCCAAGGUAUUUCUCUAUCAUAUUCUUAAUAUUUUGAUCACGCACUUCAGUAUUCCUCGUAAAGAUUUAUUUUCUGUUUUCAUCCAUUUUUAUUGGAUUACAAUUAUCUACAUUAUAUUCUGUUUAUUGGUACAUUUGCUCAUCUUAUAAAAAUCCUUUUACAGGGCUUCGAUAGUCAUUUCAUAUUUUUAUUUCGCUGAGAAUGUUUAUAUCUGCAAACACACACACAUAUACACAGUAAUUAAUGACAUUUGGAAGUUAUUAACUACUGUUUGAAAGUUUAGCCUUUGUUUGUUAUAAUCAGAAUUACAAGUGACAAAGGAGACAGAUUUGAAGUAACAGUAAAUCCAAGGUCUUUUUCUUUAAUGGUUUCUGUGAACUUCUUGCCCUCCCUGUUCCCGUCCCCAUCCCCAUGUAGUACUCUGCUUUCAACCUUCUUUUCCUAUCUUCCAGCUCCAUAACUUUGCUUUUGCUCGUGUCAUAUUCUGGCCAUUUCUGAAGUCCACCCAUUUUUUUCAGUCUUCUUUUAUCCUCUUUAGUGUGUAUUCUCAUUAUGGUGUCAGCAUUAUGCACAAAUAAGGUUAUGUAGGAGUCGACUCCUGUAACCUUGGUUCUGAUAAUGUUCAUAUUCACUUUUUUCUUUUGUUCCCAAUAUUUUCUCAUCUAUUCCAGUACCUUCAUUUGUGUGUGUCGGCUAAUGCAGCAGGUGUAACCAAUGCCUCUCUAAUAUAUUAUUUUUAUCUUAUAUGUUAUUUUUUAUCUUAUACUUCUCUGCCUGGUUAUCCCUUCCCUUUUUCAAGAAUAUUUUAAUGUUUAAAACUGGUUUUCAGGUGGGUUGAGGGAGGUGAUUGAAUACAAUGUUAUUGUGUUUGAAGUGGCAAAGAUUCUAAGGUUAAAUUUUGUCUUGAAUAAUAAUUGAUAUCCACCAGAUCAGUCAUGACAAACUACUUCCUCUGUCUUUUUAUACAGUAUCCACUGAAAAGAUAUCUAACACAUCUCUUUUACAAACUAGAAUUAUCUAGUCAAAUGUUUUUUUUUCUUAUGUAUCACUGAGUACAAGUGGAAGAAUGAUCUCAUAACUGUUUAUUUACCCUCAUUAGUUUCUCUGUGUAUUUUUUUUAUGCUAAGUUAUUUUAUUAGGAUAACUAGAAAGAAGAGAUAUAUUGACAAAUUUUUCUAUUUUUAUAUGUAAAAUUUAGUUAUUUAAGAUAUAUCUGUAUUGUAGUCUCCUUGUUUUGCAGUUAUAUUACAAACUUUUGGUGUUUAUUCAUACCUGUUUUCUUGCAUUGUUUUCAAACAGUAAAUGAUUACCUAUGGAGAAUCAAGAUAAAUUACAUGUUUAAUGUUAAAGUAGCAACUUCUUGACUUUUAGUUACAAACAAAAUUAAAUUUAAAAAAUGCAUGUCGGAUAACUAUUGUGUGUCUCAGCCUCCUGGUAUAUACAAAUGAAAGAAUUUUUGUAAAUCAUUCUUUGGUGUUUUAUUUUUAUUGUAUUUUUAUGUAUAGUUAAACCAGAAAAUGUGCCUGAGUAAUUUAGAAUUAUACUGUAUAUUGUCCUCAGUGUUAGAAGUUUUGAAGACACUUCUGUCUCAAUAUAUCAUAAAUUUAUUGAGCUGUUCUCCCUGAUUAACUGGAGUGACUUAAAAAAAAAAAUCUUCAGCAUUGAAAUAUAAAGUGAGCUAUUGUGCUGAGUAGACUUAUGUCUUUUAACACAUUUUGACAACACAGGAAUGAUGACAACAACAGCUCGCUACGAAGUUGUCAUGUUAACUAUACAAGAAAAUAAAUCUCAGACAAGAGAUUGAUUUGGCUUAUGUCAUUAACCACACUUAUAAUUAGAAUCCUAUCUAGUUUUGACUUUUCUUUUGAUUAUAUAGACUGCAUUUUUUUGCUCGGGUACGGUACAUUGAGUUCUUAUGUGUAGACGUGUCUAUUGAAAACCUUAAACUAAAUAAUACAUAAUGACUAGGAAAGAAAAAUCACUCAUUGUAAAGUGACAAAUCAGUGAGUGCAUAAUUUAAUCGAGAAUUUUAUACACUUUUACAAAUAUGAGGAAUAACGAAUUAAUCGUAGGGAUCCAUGGCUAAGUGUAAACCUGCUGGAUUGUCAUUAGAGAUAAGAACUUAUCCCAUUAAAAGCCAGGUCUUGCUCUACUUCUUUAAUAUAUAUUUACCAUAGUUAUAUAUUUUUGGAGUGUGGUAUUAAGAGCCAAGAAGUGAAUAUAAAUUUAUAAAAAAAAAAAAAAAAAAUCAUAUACAGUAAAAGUACUAUAUUAAGCAACCCAUUGUAUUGAGGAUUCUUGCCAGGAUUGAAUGAUGUUUAUUAAAGGAGGUUUCCAUAUGUUAGUGCAACUACUUGAUUAUAAAAAGUUAAAGAGGUAAUCAUUGCUAUUGCUUAAGCUCAAGUUAUUGCUACAGGUUCAUAUAAUUGCCAGGUGUUGUACACAAACACUUUGUUUGCCUUUAACAGUUUUCUCAAAGAAAGUUGUUUAUAACCUAUGUACAUGAAGUAGGUGUUUAAUAAACUGUUUUGUAGCCACUGUUAUGUGCAGUAUUCAGUAUUGUGGGAACUAGUAAUGUAGAUUUGAGAGAAUUUUGUGCCAGGAAAAGGUAUUGUACAAGUUUUAUAACAAUCUUUCCUUCUCGAGUACAGUACUGCCAUUCCUGAGGCAGGAUAUCACAAGAUUCUCAUGCCUCUUCACCAUAGAGGAAUUUGAAAACCAUUUCUUCCUUGUAUGGCAUUGUAACUUGGUCUAUAUUUUCCUAAUCUUUUAAAUGUCUUUGUGCUCUGUCAUUAGCCUGCUUUUUAACAGGUUUUACAUGGACAUAGACAUAUGUUAAUCUCAUUUAUUUUAUUUAAAACAGUUAGAUAAGAAUGUAGCACAAGCUAUCUUUCAUUGCUUUGGUUAAGUGUCAUGCACAGCAGGACAUAUUAAAUAUUUGAAAUUCAAAAUGAUUUUGAUUUUCAAACCCAAGUGUUUGAGAUAAAGGCUGACCAUUUGUAAAUUUUCAGUACAUGUAUAAAUUGAUACAGAGAUGGUUAAUAAUAAGGAUUUUGAUAUUUCAUGUUUAUUUUGAUUUUGUGACAGAUGGAAUAGGUUGUUUAUUAUUAUAUUCACAGGGACAUGCUUAAACUUUAUGCAUCUCUAACCAUAAACUUGAGAUUAUAUACCUGAUUUUUCACCAUACCUGAUAUCAACUAGUGACCACUCUGCCUCUACAUCUGUACAACAACUAUAGCCAUCCACAUCAACCCAGUAGGGCCACAACGUUGUCAGCUUGUUCAGCAUUCUUCACGGUGACAAUGCACAUCCCGCUUGGAAGGCAUGUGAAUGGAUAUAUUUUGACCAAAAUGCAUUAUGAGUGCUUUGCUAAUGCCAUGGUCAGGUAAUCAGUAGGUGUGGUUGGUUGAAGUGAAAAGAAUUUUAUAAAGGAUUAACUUACUUUCCAGGUAGCAUGUUUCUUAGGAUAGGAGUGAGGCGUGGUGUCAGUAAUAGUGUCGGGAUUGUCAAGUAUGGGUUGAGGUCGUUUAGACGAUGGCUAUGAGCCAAUCCUUCCAUGACAUGUGAAUGAUCCAGAAAUUGACUCUGUCAUGAGAGAAUCCAGAUUCAUGGUUAAAGUAAAGCAAAUGUCAGAGGUAUCAAAUGGGCCACCUGGAACACUGGUACCAGAAUCGGACAACGUAUACUCCAAAAGCAGUACUAGGUUCAAAGGAAGGUCUGUGGGUGUGCCUGGGUCAGGUAAGGUGCCACAGGGGUAAGAGGCAAACAAUGUGAAUAUUACUGAGACUGUUUUCUUAUUAAAAAUGAGGGUGGGAGAGGGGCAGCUUAGAAGAGAUGCAAAAGACUAUAUUUCCCUCUAGAACCAAUAGUACCAUCAAUGCUACCAGUAGUACUGAUGCUGAUGUUGCUUGGAAACCAUCCCAGCACUGUAUGGCCCUUGUGGUUUAGCACUUCUUUUGAUUAUAUAAUUGGAAACCAUCCCAUACCCUACCUGGUACAUCAGGAUGGCAUCUCCAGAGUCAACCAAACCAGGCCCAGCCAACAGGAAAUGCCAGGAGUUGUGCCAUACCCCUUUGGCCAUCACCUCCCAGAACCAUAAGACAGCAUCCAGGAAUAAUACUGUCAUCCAAGUACACAGCAAAGCCACUCACCAGGGCCCCAGAGGAUGGCCCAGCAUGCGUCUCAAUUUUCACAGCUAACAGCACCACACCAUAGAGGUCCUCAAUGGAAUGGGAUGGAUAAUGCUCCCUUUUCUCUCUGCCUAGGAUCUGAAAUUCACAAGGAAGUAAUAUCCCCAAAUAUGGAGGCUAAAUAAGGAGAGAGGUAGGGGUAUUUAGAUUCACUCUGAGGAAAGAUUUCACCUCAUCAUGGGACCCCUCCUUGAAGAGGUUUCAUGUCAAUAAGCAACAACAACUGGAAUGUAAGGUAAACUUAUUUCUCUGUACAUAGUCUAAAAAAAAAAAAAAAUUUGCAAAUUUCCUUGUUCUUCACUUCUUGUACCACUAUAAUCAUUAGCAGAUAACAUACAGUAUCUAAAUAUGUGCAGCAACUUGGAAUGUGAAGUUGCAUAAUAUAAAAAAAAACACCAAUACAAUAUGCAACAUUUCUUUAUUUACAUAAAUAUAACUCAUACAUUUACAAUGUGGUAAUUCUUUAGAAUAUUAUAGGAACAACAAAGCUAUAUAUUACUAUUUUACGUCAUCUAUAUCGCUAACUUUUCAGAAUGUCUUGGUUUCUCCCCCCUUUUUUCUAAACACUAGUUGCCUCCUGCCACAGCAAGGUGACCCAAAAAAAAAAAAAGGAAAUUUUCAACAUUCAAUCAAUCACUGUCUUUCUAGAUUAAUCUCUGACUGCAACAUCCCUACCUCUUCUUCAGUGCCCUUCCCACCUCCAGGACUCAUGUCUGGGUUAACCAGUUUCCCUAUGUUUUUUUUUUUUUCAACACGGCAGUCUCCAAGAGCACAUCCAUUAAAAAC